ACCACAUUCAGUGACGGAUGUCUUGGCUCGAGCAGCGAUGAAGGGCGCAGCGAACUGCGAUACGCAUUGUGAAUUGCAGAAUUCUGUGAAUCAAUAGAGACUUGAAUGYGSACUGCGUUUUUGGGACAUCCCUAAAAGCAGGCCUGCUUCAGUGUCCGU
Molecule: ribosomal RNA, 159 nt
Filed under: Peridinium cinctum
Lineage: Eukaryota; Dinophyceae; Peridiniales; Peridiniaceae
Description: 5.8S ribosomal RNA
Rfam family: 5.8S ribosomal RNA
About the family: 5.8S ribosomal RNA (5.8S rRNA) is a component of the large subunit of the eukaryotic ribosome. It is transcribed by RNA polymerase I as part of the 45S precursor that also contains 18S and 28S rRNA.
Source: RNAcentral